RNAcentral lists this transfer RNA (71 nucleotides) under Bos taurus (domestic cattle). It matches the Rfam family "tRNA". Rfam says of the family: Transfer RNA (tRNA) molecules are approximately 80 nucleotides in length. Their secondary structure includes four short double-helical elements and three loops (D, anti-codon, and T loops). Further hydrogen bonds mediate the characteristic L-shaped molecular structure. tRNAs have two regions of fundamental functional importance: the anti-codon, which is responsible for specific mRNA codon recognition, and the 3' end, to which the tRNAs corresponding amino acid is attached (by aminoacyl-tRNA synthetases). tRNAs cope with the degeneracy of the genetic code in two manners: having more than one tRNA (with a specific anti-codon) for a particular amino acid; and 'wobble' base-pairing, i.e. permitting non-standard base-pairing at the 3rd anti-codon position. RNAcentral also lists the same sequence under 5 other names. The record is from Rfam by way of RNAcentral. Lineage: Eukaryota; Metazoa; Chordata; Mammalia; Artiodactyla; Bovidae.
UCCUAGGUGGCUCAGUGGUAAAGAAUCUGCCUGCCAGGCAGGAGACUUGGGUUCAAUCCCUAGAUUAGGAA